Molecule: ribosomal RNA, 741 nt
Filed under: Escherichia coli
Lineage: Bacteria; Pseudomonadati; Pseudomonadota; Gammaproteobacteria; Enterobacterales; Enterobacteriaceae
Description: partial 23S ribosomal RNA
Rfam family: Bacterial large subunit ribosomal RNA
Source: RNAcentral
AUUAACUGAAUCCAUAGGUUAAUGAGGCGAACCGGGGGAACUGAAACAUCUAAGUACCCCGAGGAAAAGAAAUCAACCGAGAUUCCCCCAGUAGCGGCGAGCGAACGGGGAGCAGCCCAGAGCCUGAAUCAGUGUGUGUGUUAGUGGAAGCGUCUGGAAAGGCGCGCGAUACAGGGUGACAGCCCCGUACACAAAAAUGCACAUGCUGUGAGCUCGAUGAGUAGGGCGGGACACGUGGUAUCCUGUCUGAAUAUGGGGGGACCAUCCUCCAAGGCUAAAUACUCCUGACUGACCGAUAGUGAACCAGUACCGUGAGGGAAAGGCGAAAAGAACCCCGGCGAGGGGAGUGAAAAAGAACCUGAAACCGUGUACGUACAAGCAGUGGGAGCACGCUUAGGCGUGUGACUGCGUACCUUUUGUAUAAUGGGUCAGCGACUUAUAUUCUGUAGCAAGGUUAACCGAAUAGGGGAGCCGAAGGGAAACCGAGUCUUAACUGGGCGUUAAGUUGCAGGGUAUAGACCCGAAACCCGGUGAUCUAGCCAUGGGCAGGUUGAAGGUUGGGUAACACUAACUGGAGGACCGAACCGACUAAUGUUGAAAAAUUAGCGGAUGACUUGUGGCUGGGGGUGAAAGGCCAAUCAAACCGGGAGAUAGCUGGUUCUCCCCGAAAGCUAUUUAGGUAGCGCCUCGUGAAUUCAUCUCCGGGGGUAGAGCACUGUUUCGGCAAGGGGGUCAUCCCGA